CCUUCCUGGCCAGAAUGGAGCCUCUUCUCUCUUCACCACCACUGUCGGCGAACUCCCAGCCAAGUCUCUAGUCGUUUGGCGGAUUAUCGAUCGGGUUCCCCAAACACAAGCUUUGGCUAAUGAUCCCACGAAACUACACCAUGAGCUUCCUGCCCCGCUGAGUGAGGGCUGCGCUGGUGCAGGAAGCCGCGAGGUGGUUAGAGGGAAGAGAAGAAACAGAAGGGGCUUAGUUGACCUUGAUAAGGUGCUUCCGAGCUGGGAUGAGAGGAAGGGAAACCUUACAUUAUGCUAUGAAGAGUAGUAAUAAUAGCAGCUCUUAUUUCCUGAACCAGUACCCCCGUGUCAGCUUUGUACAAAAAGCGUUUGUUCACAAAGCGUUGCACGCUCACCUCACUUAAUUGCCACAAACCUCUGCGAAGGGGAAAAGCGUUCAUGCCCAUUUUACACGUGACAAAGCUGAGACUUAGAAAGUUGUCUAUCUGAUGUCUCACAAAACGUCUAAGUGCCCAGAAAAUCUUUGAACACAGAUCUGUGCCCAUAGCCCUCUGGAAAGAUUCUUAAAAAGCACCCAUUCCUCACUAAAACAGCUUAGUAUAGCAUCACAUGGCCUGAACAUCCCUGUCCUGGGGCUUUUUCCAGAGACCUGGUGAGUGGCUGUCCUGCCUUCACUGCCCACAUGCCCACACUCUCACCUACUCAACAUGCUUUGAAUACCAGGGUGUAAUCUGUGCUCACUACCAGGUAAGGCCGCUGUGGCCCUUUCAGAGUCAUUCCGGGGACACAACGAGACAUGAAUGGACAUAGUCAGUCCAUUAACAAUUCUUUUGCAGAGCAGAAGUUUUUAAUUUUAAUGACAUUCUGUCAAUAUAUCCCCUAAUGAAGAAGUUGAAGGAGAGAACCACUUACAGAGAGUGAUGAGAGAACUCUGGAUCAGGACAUACCAUAUGCAUGUGUGUGAUCAUGUGCAGGUGUGCAUGUGAGCAUAUGACUACAUAUUCUCCUCUGUGUAUCCAUGAAACACAUUCCACAAUGGGUUUCUGAAGGUUGGGCUCUCCGGAUGGAUCUGGGGUCCACUGUAAGACCCAGCUAAGAGUUUCACAGUCACUGCCCACUCUCAAAGAAGUUAGUGUAUGUCCCCCUUAGAAACUUCCUUACAGCCUUCACGAAAAUUAACUCAAAGUUUAUUGUAGACCUAAAUGAAAAAUGAGUAUCUAUAAAACUUCUAAAAGAUAAUGUAGGAGAAAAUCGUGAUGACUUUAAGUUUGGUGAUGACUUACUAGAUACAACACCAAAAGAACAAUGCUUGAAAGAAGCACUUGAUAAGUUCUGUGUCAUUAAAAUUAAAAACUUCUGCUCUGCAAAAGAUUUGUCAAGAGAAUGAGAAUACAAGCUACAGACUGGGAGAACAUAUUUGCAGGGGACAUACCUGAUAAAGGACUUACAUUCAAAAUACACAAAAAAACUGUUAAAACUCAACAAUAGAAAACAACCCAAUUAAAGAAUGGGCAAGCAAUCUGAGCAGACACCUCACCAAAGAAAAUAUACACAUGGCAAAUAAGCAUAAGGAAAGAUGCUCCAUAUAAUAUGUCAGUAGCCAUUUCAAAUUGAAACAAUAAUGAUGUACCACUACCCACCUAUUAGAGUGGCUAAAA
This 1652-nucleotide long non-coding RNA is filed under the name Papio anubis (olive baboon). Its description in RNAcentral is "lncRNA (ENSPANG00000042054.1)". The record is from RNAcentral. Lineage: Eukaryota; Metazoa; Chordata; Mammalia; Primates; Cercopithecidae.